GGAGAGGCCACUCAUUACUGGCCCAACUGAAAGUGUUUAGGCUUGACAAGCAAAACCAAGCCCCACCUAGAGGAACACAGGUGAAAUGAAUUAAGCUAGUUUUCCAGUAAAGAGAGAGAGAAACCAGGAAGGGGAUAACACAUUUCUUUAGCUUCUUCCUCUGCUGAAGGAAACUUACACUGUGAGAAGAGGCUAUGUGGUCUUUUGCAACGAUGCAGCCUUAGACUAAGGGCUUGAGAGGUGUGGGAUAAAAGUCUGGGACAUCUUGAGUCAAGCUAUUUUAAACUUUUGUCAGAAAAAGUGCCUUAGAAAUCCCCGCUUACAGCAAGUAUCAAAUCCUGCGAGACUGGAGCACCACCUGAACUUGGCCUUCUUCCUACGUGUGGUUUGCCAGUGGCUCUGUGACAAGUACAAGACCUGGAAGAAACCUCCAUCCUCAAAGACUUGGAAAAGGCUGUCCUGGAGCCUGCGUGGAGGUUACAAAAAUCAUCCCUCUGGUGGUGGCCUGAGCAGAUUACUUCAACCCCAAUGUUGCCCUGAACGUUGCAUUCAAGAUUUGAGAAGAUUAGGACUGCUAAGACUUUGUGCAUCUGCCAGUACAGACAUUUUGGACAGUAGUAUUAUGAUGCUGCCUAUCAGCCAACUGCAGUCUUAUGGAAUAGGUACCAUUAUGUUCCCCACUGUGUUGACAAUGGACCUGAGGCUGCUGCUGCUAAGUCACUUCAGUCGUGUCCAACUCUGUGCGACCCCAGAGACGGCAUCCCACCAGGCUCCCCUGUCCCUGGGAUUCUCCAGGCAAGAACACUGGAAUGGGUUGCCAUUUCCUUCUCCAAUACAUGAAAGUGAAAAGGGAAAGUGAAAUCACUCAGUCGUGUCCGACUCCUAGCGACCCCAUGGACUGCAGCCUACCAGGCUCCUCCAUCCAUGGGGUUUUCCAGGCAAGAGUACUAGAGUGGGGUGCCAUUGCCUUCUCCGGACCUGAGGCUAGUGGUUGGUAAUUGUGUGUGGAUGGUUGCACUGAGAUUCUGGCUCUUGUGUCCCCACUCUCACCUUUUACUGCCUUCAAGAAAUGGCUGUCUCUGGACUCUCACCCUUUAGAUGUGAAAGAACUAAUGAUUUCUUUUUGGUGCUUUAUUGAGGAUUUAAAUGGCACAAAGGAUUCUUACUGGGAUUUUAAUGGACAUCAGUAUGAAAUCUCUCAAUGUCCUUUUUUUUUUUAAAAUUUGAGGUGUGACAGUAAUUUUUUGUGCUUCAGUUUUGAGAAAGUUAUGGACUUGAGAUACAUUGAAUAAGGCAAAUGUGCUUAGAAUCAGGACUUUUUAGUGAAUGAGUGUUUUAAUAACUUGGCCUGAGGAAAAGGUGAUGUGUAUGCAGUAAUUCCAUUCCCACAACACAGACACACUGUUUUGCCUUAGUGGAAAAAAGAAAUCUAGGACAUUCUGCCUAUAGGACUAGAAAAGCCUUGAAGGCUUUUCAAUAUGUAGUGUUAGAGAACACUGCUAUUUGAGUGGAUCAAUAGCUUGAGAGAAUGGUGACUUGCCUUUCCUUAUCUGGUCUGAUCACUGUCACAGAAAAAGAGCAAGUUGAGGCUCCAUGAGAUUUUUGACUUGGUUACUUUGGCUAUCAGCUCAGAACCAGCCUUCUGUCAGUCCUUGAGUCUAGGACAAAAGCUUUGCCUUAAAGAUUUCGGAAGGGAUCAAUUAAAUGAGGUAGGCACAUUGUGAAUAUCCCACAUUGGCUUGACUUUUAGGAAGUGGCAACUGUGAGGCGAAUUGUAUGUCACCGACCUCAACACCUGUCUUUAGUAAUGGUAUCAGGAGAGGAGCGGUAAAAGAAAUAAAGAGCACUGAACUGGGAAUGGGGGCUCUACAGUUGCAAGCCUGACUGCCAUCUUUUGGCUUUUUUUUUUUAACCUUUGGCAAAUUACUCUACCUCUCUCUGCUGAGAUAUCUUCCUUUUUAAAAAAUGACAUUGAAGUAAUAAUAAUUGCUUGAAUAAUAAUUACUUUGAAGUAAUAAAAAUGACAUUGAAGUUAUAAUCUUGAGCUUUUAUAGAUCAUUCACUGAACAAAAGUCUACAAACUUCAUUAAGGCAGGGCUGUAUCUCAAUUUAGCUAAAGUAUACCCACUGCCAGACUCAUAGGAGUUGCUUUAGUGCUGAGUAAAUACAGGUUUCUUAAUUAAUGGGUGUCAUUGAUCUUUCCAUCCCACUCCACAGAAGAUACACACUCAAAAAUUUCUGUGCAUUUUCAAAACUUCAUGAACUUCAGAUAACUGGGCCUCAGAUUAAAAACAAAUGUUGCCUACACAAUUUUGUUGGCUUUUAAUGUUCUAAGAAUCUAAUAAAGGCCCUGUUACAAUGAUAUGUAAAAGGAAUAAAAGAAAAUAUAAAUGGGAAAGUAACUUGUGCCCGUGAAUUGGAAGAUUUAACAGUGUUAAAAUGUCCAUGCUAUGGAAAGUGAUCUACAGAUUCAAUGCAAUCUCUAUCAAGGUCCCAAUGAUAAUUUCUUCAGAAAUAGAGAAAAACACCCUAAAAUUCAUAUGUAAUCUCAAAAAAUACCGAAUAGUUAAAAUAGACUUGAAAAAAAAGAACAAAGGUGAAGACCUCAUACUUCAUGAUUUCAAACAGUAAUCAAGAACCUGUGAUACUGACAUAAAGACAGAUACAUAGUCCAGUGGAAAAGAGUAGAGCACAAAGAUAAACCUUCAUGUAAGUGGCAGAUGAUUUUCAACAAAGGUACCAAGACUAUGCAAUGGGGAAGGACAAUCUCUUUAACUAAUUAGAUAUCUAUAUGCAGAAAAAUGAAAUUGUUCCUUACCUUAUACCAUAUACAGAUAUUAACUCAUAACAUUUGUGAUUGCAAAUGAGUCCAGUUUGGGAGUUAAUGCAAUGAGUGUUUUCUAAGGGGAAAAUGUGUUAUUAAAAUCAAAUAAUUGCUUUAGGCUACAGGAGAGAAGAGGACAAACCUAUAGUUCCCAAGAUUUUUUUUUAAUGUAAUAAAUGCUUUAUCACUUUUAGUUUUCUCAUCC
Bos taurus (domestic cattle) is the source of this 3029-nucleotide long non-coding RNA. The record is from Ensembl. NCBI's taxonomy places the organism in Eukaryota, Metazoa, Chordata, Mammalia, Artiodactyla, Bovidae.